This 345-nucleotide unclassified non-coding RNA is filed under the name soil metagenome. RNAcentral's name for it is "partial contains 5.8S ribosomal RNA, internal transcribed spacer 2, and large subunit ribosomal RNA". The stretch from base 1 to 120 matches the Rfam family "5.8S ribosomal RNA", at positions 35 to 154 of the family's 154-position model. The record is from RNAcentral.
GAUGAAGAACGUAGCGAAAUGCGAUAAGUAAUGUGAAUUGCAGAAUCCAGUGAAUCAUCGAAUCUUUGAACGCACAUUGCGCCCGCCAGCAUUCUGGCGGGCAUGCCUGUUCGAGCGUCAUUUCAACCCUCGACCUCCCCUUGGGGAAGUCGGCGUUGGGGACCGGCAGCAUACCGCCGGCCCCGAAAUGGAGUGGCGGCCCGUCCGCGGCGACCUCUGCGUAGUAAUCCAACCUCGCACCGGAACCCCGACGUGGCCACGCCGUAAAACCCCCAACUUUCUGAACGUUGACCUCGGAUCAGGUAGGAAUACCCGCUGAACUUAAGCAUAUCAAUAAGCGGAGGA